GGUGGCCUAGCUGUCCGUACCCCUCAAAUGCAACCUUCCAGUCCCAAACCCAGGCGUUCUAAGCGCUCAGGACGACGAUUUGCGCUCACGCCAGGACCCUAGUCCUCAUUGGACCCUUCCUCAUUCUGUCCUCAUUGAGGCCAUCUGAGAAUAGGGGCCAUCUGAGAAUGCAGGGGAGUGGACAUCGUGUGCAGACAGGGAGGCUGAUUGUGAGUGCCGCGGGGCUGAGCCCUGCGCCGACCUGGUCUGCUGGUGCUCCCAGGCUUGAACAGUCUUCAAAUCCACUGCUAUUAGGCAAAUUACCUGGCUCCCGCUGAACCCCGGCACCUAGAACUAUGUCACACUCGUAGUAGGCCGCCGCAUUGGUUGAACAAAUGAUUUUGAAAGAAUGAAUGGCUUCCUCUGUGCCUGCAUUUCCUCAGAAGGUUGUA
RNAcentral lists this non-coding RNA (431 nucleotides) under Pongo abelii (Sumatran orangutan). The record is from RNAcentral. Lineage: Eukaryota; Metazoa; Chordata; Mammalia; Primates; Hominidae.